GUUCUAGUUAAGUUAAUCCUUUAAUCCCAUAUAGUCAUACAUAAACAAUGCUGCCCUUGUGGAUAGCACAACAAGGCAACACUACUCAAAUAUGCCAUAAGUAUCAAUUUGGACUUAGUCAACAUCAUAUCAAUUUCUAUAGUAAGCCUUGUGGAUAGCACAACAAGCUCACUAAGAUCUUGACAUACUCUAUUGACCA
Molecule: long non-coding RNA, 199 nt
Filed under: Elaeis guineensis (African oil palm)
Lineage: Eukaryota; Viridiplantae; Streptophyta; Magnoliopsida; Arecales; Arecaceae
Description: long non-coding RNA (EGUI_LNC034151)
Source: RNAcentral